Molecule: ribosomal RNA, 425 nt
Filed under: uncultured bacterium
Lineage: Bacteria
Description: partial 16S ribosomal RNA
Rfam family: Bacterial small subunit ribosomal RNA
Source: RNAcentral
GUGGGGGAUAUUGCACAAUGGAGGAAACUCUGAUGCAGCGACGCCGCGUGAGUGAAGAAGUAUUUCGGUAUGUAAAGCUCUAUCAGCAGGGAAGAUAAUGACAGUACCUGACUAAGAAGCCCCGGCUAACUACGUGCCAGCAGCCGCGGUAAUACGUAGGGGGCAAGCGUUAUCCGGAUUUACUGGGUGUAAAGGGAGCGUAGACGGAAUGGCAAGUCUGAAGUGAAAUCCUGCGGCUUAACUGCAGAAUUGCUUUGGAAACUGUCAAUCUGGAGUGUUGGAGAGGUAAGCGGAAUUCCUGGUGUAGCGGUGAAAUGCGUAGGUAUCAGGAAGAACACCGGAGGCGAAGGCGGCUUACUGGACAAUAACUGACGUUGAGGCUCGAAAGCGUGGGAAGCAAACAGGAUUAGAAACCCGAGUAGUCC